RNAcentral lists this ribosomal RNA (301 nucleotides) under uncultured bacterium. Its description in RNAcentral is "partial 16S ribosomal RNA". It matches the Rfam family "Bacterial small subunit ribosomal RNA", at positions 509 to 807 of the family's 1533-position model. The record is from RNAcentral.
CAGUAGCCGCGGUAAUACGUAGGGUGCGAGCGUUAAUCGGAAUUACUGGGCGUAAAGCGUGCGCAGGCGGUUUUGUAAGACAGGCGCGAAAUCCCCGGGCUCAACCUGGGAAUGGCGCUUGUGACUGCAAAGCUAGAGUGCGGCAGAGGGGGAUGGAAUUCCGCGUGUAGCAGUGAAAUGCGUAGAGAUGUGGAGGAACACCGAUGGCGAAGGCAGCCCCCUGGGCCAAUACUGACGCUCAUGCACGAAAGCGUGGGGAGCAAACAGGAUUAGAUACCCCCGUAGUCCCUGUCUCUUAUAC